Molecule: ribosomal RNA, 460 nt
Filed under: uncultured bacterium
Lineage: Bacteria
Description: partial 16S ribosomal RNA
Rfam family: Bacterial small subunit ribosomal RNA
Source: RNAcentral
CCUACGGGAGGCUGCAGUGAGGAAUAUUGGUCAAUGGGCGUAAGCCUGAACCAGCCAAGUCGCGUGUGUGAUGAAGGUUCUAUGGAUCGUAAACAUCUUUUAUAAGGGAAUAAAGUGCGGGACGUAUCCCGUUUUGUAUGUACCUUAUGAGUAAGGAUAGGCUAACUCAGUGCCAGCAGCCGCGGUAAUACGGUGGAUCCGAGCGUUAUCCAGAUUUAUUGGGUUUAGGGGGUGCGUAGGCGGCCUUUUAAGUCAGCGGUGAAAGUCUGUGGCUCAACCAUAGAAUUGCCGUUGAAACUGGGAGGCUUGAGUAUGGUUGAGGCAGGCGGAAUGCGUGGUGUAGCGGUGAAAUGCUUAGAUAUCACGCAGAAUCCCGAUUGCGAAGGCAGCCUGCCAAGCCAUGACUGACGCUGAUGUACGAAAGCGUGGGGAUCAAACAGGAUUAGAUACCCUUGUAGUC